Non-coding RNA from Danio rerio (zebrafish), 1693 nucleotides. NCBI's taxonomy places the organism in Eukaryota, Metazoa, Chordata, Actinopteri, Cypriniformes, Danionidae. The record is from RefSeq and is a predicted model, not a curated record.
AUAUAUGCUGAGCACUGUAUGUGUGUAUGCGCAUGUAUUGUAAAUAAUCAUAUUUACUUCAUAUUUGAACAUAUCUACUUUAACAUAAAAGCAAUGGCUGACAACCAGGAGAGUUAUUGUUUCAUUGAAACAAAAGCCCUGAAUAUAACUGCUAAUGCCGCAUGUUUCUUGAUGUCAAAUAGUGAAAGGGGUAAAAUGUUAAAAGCCUUCAUAUCCGCCAGAGUGACUGACACAGUUAAUAUUCGCAAGAACUACAGCACCAAUUUCCAGCAGAACAAACAUGACAGUUUAUGACUUGGAUCAAUCUCACACUUCAGCUGGUCAGAGAAAUACAAACACCAAUUGAACCGCAUUUACAUUCCACCUUAAAAGAGCAAAAAAGUACAAAGUAAUGUGAAAUAUCCACCAUGAUACACACACACACACACACACACACACACACACACAUACAUACAUACAAAAAACAAAUCCCCAGCAGUAUAUAAUAAACCUGCAACUGCUACAUUUCUGACACGGCGCAUCCUGAAUGAGUACAAUUUACAGUAAGGAGAUGAAAAAUGUCAUCUACAGGCAUCUGACAACACGUCCAGCACUGAUGAUCAGACUCCAUUUGUAACCUGUUCCCUUUUGUUGAUUUGCCGUGUGAUAAAUUGCAUUUAGCAAAGCGGGACAGGCUAAACGGUCCUGACAACUUUUAUUGAUUUGCAUGGGAUAUAUGCAUGUAAUCCUGUUUGGAGGUAAACUGUGGCGCUAGCAAAAAAUCAAGUCAGUGGUUUCUCAGAGAGAAAAUUGCACGGGGAGGUGGAAUAGAGAGGGAGAGAGGGAGGCGUGGGCCGCCCAUUGGAAUCCAAGAACUUGUAUUAAGAUAUAUUGGUUGCAGAAUUCUUCAGGGCUUAAGCAUUAUUCAUAGCAGACCCUCUCCGUCUGAGGCUGUUUAUAAAAGCAGACAGCUUCAGCCGUGAUAGAGCUUCAACAACGGGGCCAGUGCCACUUAACAUGAGCCAAGUUCGCCAACAGUCUUGAUUUGCAAGCCCUCCGCAGAUCCUUGAUGAAUGACUUCGUCAGAUCAACAGCGAAAAACGGGAAGACAAAUGAGUUUGGGAUGAAGUGUACGAUCUGAGAGCGAUUCAUAUUGCUGCAGGCUGAUGGUGACAUGUUUCCAGAAGAAAAGAAAAAAACAUAUCGGCCCAAUAUGGAGGGGAGGAGACACAAUGGUCCGGCGAGGAACGUGGUCAUACAAAUGAGGCGAACUGUCGGUUGCCAGCCUGUGUUUGCGUAAGAGCUGCCGACAGUGACUUAAAAAGCCCUGUAAGAUUGUUUAUUCAGCGUUUUUUCUCCACAGCCUCUCAUACUUUACUUGCUCUUAUUAAAUGGAAACAAGAGAAUCACCUUCAAGUUUAUUAAUGACGGUCCUCCGGAUGAAAGAUGCCUGCAAAAAUUCCCAACAUCUGUUUGCUGCGCUCACUUCUCAGCGGGGCUGCACCUAUUUCUCAUGCUUAAUGAUGCUCAUCCACUCUGCAAGUUUUACGGACAAAUGUGUAUUUGGCCACAUUCAUCAUUCUGAAUGAGUGUUCUUGAUGAGGCAUCUGCUGGCCUGCUCCACUCCUUCUACUGCACUUUAACAAAUGACAUCUCUCUCCAUAUGUUUUUCAUUUAGGAGAAAUGUGGUGAUACACACACACGCACACACUCA